RNA transcript from Solanum tuberosum (potato), 1574 nucleotides. RefSeq lists it as uncharacterized. NCBI's taxonomy places the organism in Eukaryota, Viridiplantae, Streptophyta, Magnoliopsida, Solanales, Solanaceae. The record is from RefSeq and is a predicted model, not a curated record. The transcript has 3 exons.
UAACAAUUUUUUUUUGGGUACUAGCCUCGAACCAACUCCAUGAGUCCGCAGCUGGAACCCCUAAAACCCCUCUAAUGGCAGGACCUCAUCUUCCCUCUGUAUGCUCUCAUGUAUGGUUCACUGACCAAAUAACCAAAAAACCCACCAAUGAUAUAUAUACCUGAGAAAAUUCAAUUCUUGGCGUUUUUUUAAACAGUUCUUCAACUUCCCCCAAACUCUAUCGGAUCAACAUUCUUGAAUUCUUCAACCCCAUAUCAAUUUUCGUCAUCUUUUUGGAAACCCUUUUCGUUUUCAGUUCAGUUUCAGAAAGAAUCAACUAGUUUAGAUAGUGUAGCAAAGAAACCAUUGGGUGUUUUCUUUCAAGAAGUUGUUGGUCACUUAAAAAAGUCUGAACAAUCAGAAAGUGAGGAAAACAAAGAAUUGAACUGUAAAUUGAGAAAAUUGGAAGAAGAAGUUUGAAUUUUGCGGGAGAAGAGGAAAAAUGGAAGGGAUUGUAAGGAGGAAGCUAGAGAUGUUAAUGGGGUAUUGGAAAAUGAGGGGAAGAGUAACAAAUUACAUGAAUUGUUAAUGAAUGAGGAGGUUAAGAGUGUAAAAUCAAGAAAGUCGACAUCGUUGAGUAUGGAGGAUCAUACAGUGUACAAAGAGCUUUCACCUGAUAUGGGUGAUGUUUGUGACUCAUUUAUGCAAUGCAGGUACUUUAAAGAUUCAAACUUUUUGCCUAGGAGGAAGUUUGAUAUUACUUGCUUCGAGAAUAGCUAUUCCCGUGAUUUUGUAAAGUAUGCAGCUGAGCAGUUUGGUAGAGAUCACCAAGAGAUUGCUAAAUGGUUGUCUGGCAGUGACUUGAAAAAAGUCGCCCUUUUGGGUUGCCCUUCUAUUGCAAAGAAGACUGUCUUUUUCUGCUAAGAGGUUGCGUACAUAUUUCAGAAUUCAAGAAGUUAAUGCAUGCAGCAAAUGUGCCUUAAAAGCAUCAUGCAAGUUUGUGAUUCAGAAUGUCUGGAAAGGCAAUAUGACAAAUUUACACUAGGCUGUGGUAAUGAGGGUUAUUACUCUGUAUGCACUGGAAUCAGUUCCUCCCCAGUUAGUAAUACCAGAUGAAAUAAAGGCUUCUGCCAGUCGUUUGCUGAUGGACAUUUUGAGACUUAGUCAAAAUGUGUCUUUAAUCGCUUAUUCAGAAUCCGAAGAGUUGAUCAGCAGCAUACAGGUAACAUUGGUCUAAUUGUCAGUGAGGUCCUUAUAUCCCGACAUGAUCAUGCUAGUUCUACGCCUGGCUGCACUAUAUUUUGUCAUGCUUAUUCACGAGUAGUAGUACCUAUGGUAAUGAAUCCAUGUACCAGAUGGACAGUCGGGUUGAAUCUCUGGAUAUAACAACGGAACCUUAGUUGUUAAGAGGUGAUCGAAGUCAACUGCUCGUUUCUUAUAGGAAAACUGUAAAUGCAUCUCCUUCGAAACACAUCUUUGUUGAUCCAUGACCCGAGAUCUUUAACAAGAUUUCGUUCAACUUUACGGAUAACCAAAGUGUUCCGAAGUCAAAUAUUUGCAAUUGUAGGAAAUAUAUCAAGAAGUUUCUCCAUGAA